Molecule: ribosomal RNA, 460 nt
Filed under: uncultured bacterium
Lineage: Bacteria
Description: partial 16S ribosomal RNA
Rfam family: Bacterial small subunit ribosomal RNA
Source: RNAcentral
CCUACGGGAGGCAGCAGUGAGGAAUAUUGGUCAAUGGACGCAAGCCUGAACCAGCCAUGCCGCGUGCAGGAUGACGGCUCUAUGAGUUGUAAACCGCUUUUGUACGAGGGGAAACCGCGCUACGCGUAUCGCGUUGAACGUAUCUUACGAAUAAGGAUCGGCUAACUCCGUGCCAGCAGCCGCGGUAAUACGGAGGGUCCGAGCGUUAUCCGGAUUUACUGGGUUUAAGGGGUGCGUAGGCGGUAAGCUAAGUUUGAGGGGAAAUGUCGGGGCUCAACCCCGCGACUGCCUGUAAUACUGUUGGACUAGAGAGCAGGCGAGGUAGGCGGAAUGAAUGGUGUAGCGGUGAAAUGCUUAGAGAUGAUACAGAACACCGAUGGCGAAGGCAGCUUACCAGACUGUAUCUGACGUUGAGGCACGAAAGCGUGGGUAGCAAACAGGAUUAGAUACCCUAGUAGUC